This 396-nucleotide unclassified non-coding RNA is filed under the name soil metagenome. Its description in RNAcentral is "partial contains 5.8S ribosomal RNA, internal transcribed spacer 2, and large subunit ribosomal RNA". The stretch from base 1 to 122 matches the Rfam family "5.8S ribosomal RNA", at positions 35 to 154 of the family's 154-position model. The record is from RNAcentral.
GAUGAAGAACGUAGCGAAAUGCGAUACUUGGUGUGAAUUGCAGAAUCCCGUGAACCAUCGAGUCUUUGAACGCAAGUUGCGCCUGAAGCCAUUAGGCCGAGGGCACGCCUGUCUGGGUGUCACACACCGUUACCCUCGCGCCAACGUCCAUCGUUGGCCGCGGCGCGGGGCGUGCGCUGACCUCCCGCGAGCGGGGUCUCGUGGUUGGUUGAAAAUCGAGUUCGCGGUCGAGGGUGCCGUGAUGAAAUGGUGGAUGGGCGACGCCCGAGGCCAAUCACGCGCGACUCUGUACGGCUCGGACUCCUGGACCCCUUCGGCGUCUCCGGACGCUCUUUGGCGAGACCUCAGGUCAGGCGGGGCUACCCGCUGAGUUUAAGCAUAUCAAUAAGCGGAGGA